RNAcentral lists this ribosomal RNA (497 nucleotides) under uncultured bacterium. Its description in RNAcentral is "partial 16S ribosomal RNA". It matches the Rfam family "Bacterial small subunit ribosomal RNA", at positions 28 to 507 of the family's 1533-position model. The record is from RNAcentral.
GAUGAACGCUGGCGGCGUGCCUAAUACAUGCAAGUCGAGCGAACGGACGAGGAGCUUGCUUCUCUGAUGUUAGCGGCGGACGGGUGAGUAACACGUGGAUAACCUACCUAUAAGACUGGGAUAACUUCGGGAAACCGGAGCUAAUACCGGAUAAUAUUUUGAACCGCAUGGUUCAAAAGUGAAAGACGGUCUUGCUGUCACUUAUAGAUGGAUCCGCGCUGCAUUAGCUAGUUGGUAAGGUAACGGCUUACCAAGGCAACGAUGCAUAGCCGACCUGAGAGGGUGAUCGGCCACACUGGAACUGAGACACGGUCCAGACUCCUACGGGAGGCAGCAGUAGGGAAUCUUCCGCAAUGGGCGAAAGCCUGACGGAGCAACGCCGCGUGAGUGAUGAAGGUCUUCGGAUCGUAAAACUCUGUUAUUAGGGAAGAACAAAUGUGUAAGUAACUAUGCACGUCUUGACGGUACCUAAUCAGAAAGCCACGGCUAACUACGUG